This is a long non-coding RNA of Hordeum vulgare subsp. vulgare (domesticated barley), 2757 nucleotides long. RefSeq lists it as uncharacterized. The transcript is spliced from 5 exons. Lineage: Eukaryota; Viridiplantae; Streptophyta; Magnoliopsida; Poales; Poaceae. The record is from RefSeq and is a predicted model, not a curated record.
AUAAUGAGAGGGAUGGUUUAUGUUGGAUUUGUCUUCCACUAAGUUGCAGUUACAUAUCAUGUAAUUGUUUUCCCUUGUUUAUAUAUCUUGUUGGAUUUGAAGUAGUUGCUAAUUAUCGCAUGUGCUUUUGCUAUUUUGUUUAUACUUCCCAUCCAGUACUUACCAAGUGUUUUGAUUUGUUGGGAAUCUAUCGUGCCCAUAGAUGAUUUUAGAUAUGGACAACUCUCCUUUCUUCCCUUUACGCUUUUGUUAGUAUUGCUUAUAUACUAGUCAUUGCCUACUUGAAAGUGGCUUGUAUCCCACUUAUGCAGAUGUUUUUCUGUUUCUUAUUCUGUAGCAUGUCUUGUAACAUGGGAAACCAGAAGAAACAUACCUCGAGUUAAGGAACUUGCGGGACAGAUCUUGAAGACGAGCCAACAGAAACUCACUUCCAAUGUUGUUGAAAAGUGCCUGUCUUAUGGUUCUCCUGAGGAGCUCCAGAUUUUAAUUAAUGAAUUGCUUGGUACUACUGAUGAGAAUGAGCCAACAGCGACGCAAUACAAUCUUCAUUGGAGUUCAUUUUUCUGAUGCAAUUUUAUACUCAGUUUGAUCACAAGACGGACAUUUGCCUGAUCAUAAUAGAAAGUUGAGAGAGAGGAAGCAGCUGCACUGACGCUAGGCUUAUAUGGGCACAACAACCGGUGCGGACUCCUAAUUGGAAGCACCAACGGAGAGGCGGAGAAUGUGUGCCAUGGUGAACAAUGCACUGUGGCAGUGGUAUCUGCUUUACAGCUUUUCUUCUCCUCUUCCCAUGAGUUGGUCAGGGGCGACAGCGUCUGUCAGUCACGCGUAUGGCAUCUGUGUGGCGGAUAUCAUGAAGAGACAGAUAUAGGUUAUGGUGGAACCCGCCCUCCACCACGGCAUCAUCUGCCCUUCACCAGAUUAUAAUUAUAAUGAAAUGCUUGGUACUGCUGAUGGUAAUGAGCCAUUACAGGCAAUGAUGAAAGACCGGUUUGCAAAAUGUGUGGUGCAGAAGGUUUUGGAGACUUCCGACAACCACACCUGUGAGCUGAUUCUUUCGCGUAUCAAGGUCCUCCUGAGUCCUGAACACAGUGAAAAGAUAGGGAUUUGUUACCUACUUCACACAUGACAAGAUACCUGGAAUUUCUCGAGUGUGAGGAGGCAUAAGCUGUAUAUCGGCAGCAAGCAUCAAGCGAUUCAACCAAAGUAGUUGAGCCUGGCUCCCUCCAACCAAUCCUUUUAGCCAUUUUGCCAGAUGGACCAUUCAAGGUGAGAUAUUAGAGGAAACUGAACCCUGAAUCAAUCAACAGGCGGUCGACUGGAGCAUGUCUUGCAACUCAGGAAACCAGAAAGACGUACUUCUAUAAUUAAGCAACUUGUGGGACGGAUUGUGAAGAUGAGCCACCAGAAGUUCACUUUCAAUGUAUUUGAGAACUGCCUGUCUUUUGAUUCUCCUGAGGAGUGCCAGAUUCUUUGAUAUGUCUGGUACCGCUGAUGAGAAUGGGCCAUUACAGGCAGUGACCGGUUUGCAAACUGUGUGGUGCAAAACGUUUUGGAGACUUGCGACAACCACACCCAUGAGAUGAUUCUUUCGCGUAUCAAUAUCCUCCUGAGUCCUGAACACAGUAAAAAUAUAGGGAUCAGUUACCUACCUCAUACAGGACAGGAGGCCUGGAAUUCUGAAUUGUGCUGAGGCAUAAGCUGUGUAAUCGGCAGCAGGCAUCAAGUAACUCAACCUGGUAGUUGAUCCUGGCUCCCUCCAACCAAUCCUUGCAACCAUUUGGCAGAUGGACCUAUCAAAGUGAGAUAUUAGAGGAAACUGAACAACACCCAAAUCAACAGGCGGUUGACCGGAGGUGGUUCAGUUCCAUCUAACUCUCACUUCAAGUGGAACAUGUACAACACAUCUAUCAUAUAGGUGCCCCCAUAUCAUCAGGCAAAUCGACCGAAAGUGAGAUAUUGGAGAAAAACAAGCUGAAAACGUCAACACUUUGAGACGGAUUUCCAGUUUGCAUUUCUCCAACACUCACUUUCAGUGCCCUGGACAACAACACCUGAAAACAAUACUAGCAUAGCUGCUCAACUAUUGAUUUGGUUCGGGUCAGGAUUUUAUAGCUGCUCAACUGGUAAAUGGAGUCCUGGCUUUCUGUUGGGCCAGCCAACCCGUCAUGCCAAUCGUGUGUGCUCGUCCUGCAUCAACCUUGUGCUUUCGGUUUCAGAACCCCACCCUCGUUGUACAAAGUAGAUGAGAGUAAUUUUCUGGUAGACCUUCCCAGGACAGAACAGUGCUCAAGCCUAGUUUCUCCUUCUCUCUUCCCAAAGCAUGCUCAAGGUUAAAGUGUCAAGACUCAGUUUAUUACUGCAACUCAUUCUGGCCAGAGGCAUUUGCUUAAUGUCUAUCAUUUUUUCACAUUUCAGAAAGGCAAAUUGAUAUCAGGGGUCUCGUCACAGUUACAGAGAUUGAAGUUUGCUCCUAAAGAUUUCAAUCAUUUUAUUUCAGAAAGGUGUAAAUAAAAAGGAUUGGGCGAGUGAGGCUUUUUGAUUCCCGGGCUCCAUCGAACCCGAAUUCUUCAAUUUUUUUUUGACUUCUUAAGUUUCAAAAGGAAAAUGUAAAAAUAAACUCCAGUACUUAUAGAGGUAUACUUGAUGUGUGUACAAUUUCAUUAUGAAAUGCACUUUGAUGUGAGCUGUACAGGGAAAAAAAUCAUGUACUUUUAUAGUGAGUAAUACAUGUGUUAGAAAUACAUGGUUUUGUUA